GCCUUCGUUGUGUAAUGGUCAGCAUGCUCGAUUCGUAACCGAGAGGUCCGUGGUUCGAUUCCCGGUGAAGACG
Non-coding RNA from Stegodyphus mimosarum, 73 nucleotides. The record is from Rfam. Lineage: Eukaryota; Metazoa; Arthropoda; Arachnida; Araneae; Eresidae.